RNAcentral lists this ribosomal RNA (483 nucleotides) under Dicranocentrus pallidus. RNAcentral describes it as "partial 16S ribosomal RNA". The record is from RNAcentral. Lineage: Eukaryota; Metazoa; Arthropoda; Collembola; Entomobryomorpha; Entomobryidae.
UCAAAACAACUUUUUAUUAAUGGUUUUAAAUUAAGUAAGACCCACCCAAUGAAUUAAUAAAGGGCUGCGGUAUUCCGACCUUACUAAGGUAGCAUAGUCAUUUGUUUAUUAAGUAGGAAUUUGUAUGAAUGGUUUAAAUAAAAAGUUUUUUAUUUUUUUUUUUUUUUGAAAUUAAAUUUUUAGUGAAAAUGCUAAAUUUAUUUAAAAAGACGAUAAGACCCUAUAGAGCUUUAUAAUUAAUUUUAUAUUUAAAUUUGGGGGAAUUUAUUUAUAAUAUUAAUUAUUUAGUUGGGGCAACUAUAGAAUAAAAUUAAUUUCUUUCCAUGAAUUUAAAAAUUAUAAUUUAAUCUUUUAUUAAAAAAAUUAAAAAGUUACCUUAGGAAUAACAGCGUUAUUAUUUUUUAGAGUUCUUAUCGAUAAAAUUUUUUGCGACCUCGAUGUUGAAUUAAGUAAAUCUUUAUAGAGCAGUAUUUAUAUUAGAUA